Molecule: long non-coding RNA, 207 nt
Filed under: Elaeis guineensis (African oil palm)
Lineage: Eukaryota; Viridiplantae; Streptophyta; Magnoliopsida; Arecales; Arecaceae
Description: long non-coding RNA (EGUI_LNC064533)
Source: RNAcentral
UUCUCCAGGGGCUUCACGACAUCUUUCUUUCACCUGAGGGCUUAACCACUCAGCCACUCCAUCGGUGCCCCCUCCGACUCCGAGCAUCCUUUGCGCCUGUCUUUGCCAUUUCCGUCGGCUCUCUGCCGUUUCCAGUCCCCAGAGUCUCUCCAAGGGAUUCCCCUGUUGGGGCCUCCACCCCGGAGGCCAAUUUUAAGGUGAUGCCAC